GAUGAAGAACGUAGCGAAAUGCGAUAAGUAAUGUGAAUUGCAGAAUUUAGUGAAUCAUCGAAUCUUUGAACGCACAUUGCGCCCCUUGGUAUUCCGAGGGGCAUGCCUGUUCGAGCGUCAUUAUAACCCUCAAGCUCAGCUUGGUGUUGGGGCCUGCUGCACUGGCAGCCCUUAAAAUCAGUGGCGGCGCCAUCUGGCUCUAAGCGUAGUAAUUCUUCUCGCUAUGGAGUCCUGGUGGAUGCUUGCCAUCAACCCCCAAUUUUUCUAUGGUUGACCUCGGAUCAGGUAGGGAUACCCGCUGAACUUAAGCAUAUCAAUAAGCGGAGGA
Molecule: unclassified non-coding RNA, 328 nt
Filed under: soil metagenome
Description: partial contains 5.8S ribosomal RNA, internal transcribed spacer 2, and large subunit ribosomal RNA
Rfam family: 5.8S ribosomal RNA (bases 1-120)
Source: RNAcentral